UGCUUAUUUGAAUCUGACCCUAGUAAAAACUUAUACCAAAACUCAAUCGGUAAGGACAUGACUUUCAACUCAACUUUGUGCUAGGAGUUUCGUAUAACCUUAGUUCAUGUCUAAUGCAAUCCGACACUAAAGAGUUGAUCUUAAUACAUAUGAACAAUUAAGUUUCAUCAGGUUUGGAUCUGCGUACACAUAUAGAUAGUUCAAUUCUUAGCCGGGAGGUUUCAUGUGUUACAAUAUGUGAUAUUGAAAUACAAAAUAAGCAAAAUAAAAUACAAAAUGUGUUGUCAUUUGUGUUCUGAGUGGUCGAUGAUUGUGAGGCUGGUGGAAAGAAGCACCAACGAUGCUACCAUUCCGCCGACACUGGUUAAUAGCAAUGGCCGACGACCAGAUUUGUCAAUCAGAUCUGUAGUUCUAUUCUAUACUUGAGGAAGGUUUUGCAUGCUGUUAGGGUCAUGUAUAUGCUUGGAUCUUCUCUCUUCAUCCAUUUUAGUCGUCGUGCCUACAUUAUCCAAUAGUCCUUGAGUAAUACAUAGAUCAAAAGAUGGAAAAUCACUAGAAAAUUAAUGAAUAAGUGGGAUACCUCUUGUAAUCUCUUAGAGUCGGCCAUUAGAGAGGAUCUUUGAGGUUUUCCUUAUCCAAAAUCCUAAUCGAAAUUAGUGAAUUUACUAAGCAACUAAACAAAUAAAUUUUUUGAAAGGUUUAAACAAAACAAAAUCAGUAAACAAACCUAAAAAUCGGAUAAAGAUGUGUAUGUUAAUCAAUGGGAUUAUUGUCAAUAUCUUUAGUGAUAUCUUUUUCGAUUUGUGAAAAAACGGAAGCUACGGAAGAGAG
RNAcentral lists this long non-coding RNA (831 nucleotides) under Solanum tuberosum (potato). RNAcentral's name for it is "long non-coding RNA (STUB_LNC005917)". The record is from RNAcentral. Lineage: Eukaryota; Viridiplantae; Streptophyta; Magnoliopsida; Solanales; Solanaceae.